Molecule: ribosomal RNA, 624 nt
Filed under: uncultured archaeon
Lineage: Archaea
Description: bacterial SSU rRNA
Rfam family: Archaeal small subunit ribosomal RNA
Source: RNAcentral
UUCGCCCUUUUCCGGUUGAUCCCGCCGGACCUGACUGCUAUCGGAUUGAUACUAAGCCAUGCGAGUCUUUGUAGCAAUACAAGGCAGACGGCUCAGUAACGCGUAGUCAACCUACCCUAUGGACGGGAAUAACCUCGGGAAACUGAGUAUAAUGCCCGAUAGAACACUAUACCUGGAAGGGUUUGUGUUCCAAAUGAUUUAUCGCCGUAGGAUGGGACUGCGGCCUAUCAGUUUGUUGGUGAGGUAAUGGCCCACCAAGACUAUUACAGGUACGGGCUCUGAGAGGAGUGGCCCGGAGAUGGGUACUGAGACACGGACCCAGGCCCUAUGGGGCGCAGCAGGCGAGAAAACUUUGCAAUGUGCGAAAGCACGACAAGGUUAAUCCGAGUGAUUUGUGCUAAACGAAUCUUUUGUUAGUCAUAGAACCACUAACGAAUAAGGGGUGGGCAAGUUCUGGUGUCAGCCGCCGCGGUAAAACCAGCACCUCAAGUGGUCAGGAUGAUUAUUGGGCCUAAAGCAUCCGUAGCCGGCUCUGUAAGUUUUCGGUUAAAUCUGUACGCUCAACGUACAGGCUGCCGGGAAUACUGCAGAGCUAGGGAGUGGGAGAGGUAGACGGUACUCGGU